RNAcentral lists this transfer RNA (74 nucleotides) under Candidatus Falkowbacteria bacterium CG_4_10_14_0_2_um_filter_41_15. Its description in RNAcentral is "tRNA-Trp". It matches the Rfam family "tRNA". From Rfam's summary of the family: Transfer RNA (tRNA) molecules are approximately 80 nucleotides in length. Lineage: Bacteria; Candidatus Falkowiibacteriota. The record is from RNAcentral. RNAcentral also lists the same sequence under 1 other name.
GCGGGAUUAGUUAAGUGGUAUAACAGACGACUCCAAACCGUCGGUCGUGGGUUCGAUUCCUACAUCCCGCGCAA